CAACUUGUCGCCGCUAAAAAGUGUAUCAAAAACCUUUGGCGGGCUCAGACCUCACUCAAUCCCUCCCAAAUCACACCACUCCCUCCCCCAAACCCUAGGCUGUCUAAUGCCGCACACCACACCACACUAUGCCAGACCACCUCAUCUGCGACGCUGCAUCAUCUCUCCGAACAACCUCUUCAACGUCGUCGGACCACCAGGGCGUGUCUUUUGCUCUGGAGUCGGUUUUGUGUCCGUCACCUGCUUUGUCAUCCUCAUCACUCAUAAAUACACCAUCAACAAAUGACUAUUCAGGUAUGGGAGAUUGCUAACCGGUUGCAGAUUGAACAUAAAAAUUUAUGGGUAUGGAAUAUCGGGGCAUAGUCAAUGGCUAUUCAGGUCUGCAUAAUUACUAUAUGUUAGUAAGACAAUUGGAAAUGAAUAGUGUAUUCAACGGCAGGUUAGGGCCUCAGGAUUUCAAAACAAAUCUGCUCCAGCAAUUAAAAAACUAAGUGAAGCUGCCUUCCGGCGACCACGAUUGGCAAGCCGAGAUCUGUGUAGUCUAUUUCCUGAUCUGGUCUUUUAGUGUCACUGGUUGACUGGUUGCUGAUCACGGUGAACUCUAAAACUCACAAAUUACCAUUCGAUUAUUACAUUUUCUACCACAGUUUUUUGUUAUACAGUGCACAUUAAUGCUCUGCUAGGAUUGUCUUGAUAAAUAGUAAAGGCAUUUGGAAAUUAAAUGGGUCAAAUGAGUCGAAUGAUUUGAAAGUUACCUUUUACCUGGCCUAUUUUUCUCAUAAUAUAUGUGCUUUUGUCUAAAAUGAAACGUGUCAGGUGACUUAACUGAAUCAAAAGUGGUUAAACUGUUUACAUUUACGGUGAACCAAAGGCGAACUGAAAAGAAUGCAGCCAUGUCUUCUUUGAUUGGAUGGUUAAACGUAACGGGUCAAAAUGAACUUUAAUUUUUAUAAUUUGUUUCAUUUGUUGAUGAGAGUUUGUGAAAAAGGCAUUAACAUGCUUAUUCCACUCAGGAUCAGCAAUAAGUGACACUAAAAGAAAGCACAUACUCAUAUCCAAAGGAAUGCAGUUAAAGUCGUCGACAACAACGGCACCGUCGGCGGCAUCAAAUGCAAAAAUGUCAUUGGAGUAGAGAAGCUGAUGGCGUCAAAGCUGAUGUCUCGACUAAUCAUAGAAUUCAUUUGCAUAGUUAGGAGGAUACUUUCUCAGAUUUUGUUCUACACAAAAGAAUUUUCUUGAUUUUGAUGGUCAGAUUUUUAAAUUUCAGUGUUUAUAGUGGACGAGCCGAUGGCAUGCUGCUGCUGCUUUUGGUGAUUAUAUAUUUGUGGCGGUCUACGUGGAGGUAACACUAUACCCUGCAGUUUUAAAUUAACGUUUUUGUAACCAGAUGAGUAAUUAUAGUCUUGAUUGGUUAGUUGAUUCUUUUGUAGUUUAGUCAUAUUUUCAAAACUAAAAUUUUAAGUUUUUUAUGGCUGCAUACAAGCUCAUAAUCUGGACUAAGAACUUAUAUUCUAUUCACUCCUUGCCGGUGCAAACUAGUCGAGCCGAUUUUGAUUUUACUCACCGUUUAACUGUAUAACAUAACCCGAAUACAUUUAGAUGUUAAUGGAUUGAAACUAAGGAUGUGUUAAAGGGUUAAAUGGGAACCGGCUAAAGGGUUAGAAUGGGUUGUUCUCAAAGGUUAUAAAGGGUUAGAAUGGCAAUGAUCGGCAGUCAUAAAACGAGCCUGUUGUGAUUACUCAGGUCGGGGAAAUAGUAGUAAAACUGUAAACCGAAAACAGCAGCACAGAAUUUUUUUUUACUGGUUUUUUGACUUUUAGCGGCGACAAAUGUCGUCACUAAAGGUCAAAAUGUCGCCGCUAAAAGUGAACAAUUAUUAGCGAGGACAUCUUUAGCGGCGACCAAGGGCUUUUAGCGACGGAUCAAUAGCGGCGACCUUUUAGCGGCGACAAGUCGCCGCUAAAGCCUUUAGCGACGACAAAUGGGACUUUUAGCGACGACAAAAGUCGCCGCUAAUGCUUCGUUUUCUUGUAGUGUUUGUAACUUGGGGCCUGACCUAUGCUCCUUAACUGGGAAAGGAGGUGGCAGGUACUGUUGUUGUAAUUUAAUUAUUUUCAGAACUGAUUACAUAAAAUCUUACCACAGUAUAUCGUAUUUUAUGUGGUGGUCUGGUAGAAACAAAGACAUAUAUAGUGUUUUAUGUGGUGCUGGGUUGAAAUGGGUUACUUAAUGCUAGUAUGAUGGUAACUAGAGGUGGCAAGAGGGCCG
Helianthus annuus (common sunflower) is the source of this 2268-nucleotide long non-coding RNA. RefSeq lists it as uncharacterized. The record is from RefSeq and is a predicted model, not a curated record. The transcript is spliced from 4 exons. Lineage: Eukaryota; Viridiplantae; Streptophyta; Magnoliopsida; Asterales; Asteraceae.